Molecule: ribosomal RNA, 456 nt
Filed under: Laeonereis culveri
Lineage: Eukaryota; Metazoa; Annelida; Polychaeta; Phyllodocida; Nereididae
Description: partial 16S ribosomal RNA
Rfam family: Bacterial large subunit ribosomal RNA
Source: RNAcentral
GUAGGUCUGUCCUGCCCAGUGAUAAUAAUUCAACGGCCGCGGUACCUUGACCGUGCAAAGGUAGCAUAAUCAUUUGCCUUUUAAUUAAAGGCUAGUAUGAAUGGAUCCACAAGAAUAAAACUGUCUCAUUUCUAAAAUAAAUAUAAACUGAUAUCUAAAUGAAGAAGUUUAGAUACUAAUAAAGGACAAGAAGACCCUAUAGAGCUUUAUUAUUACUUAGACAUACUAAUAUAAUAAAUUGAUUGGGACAAUCUUAAGACAUAUAAACCUCUUAUAAUUUAAAUAUACUACACCCUAACUUGUAAAUGAAUAAGCUACCUUAGGGAUAACAGGCUAAUCUUACUAAAGAGAUCACAUUGACAGUAAGGAUUGGCACCUCGAUGUUGGCUUAGUGUAACUAUAGGGUGCAGCCGCCUUAUUAAGUUGGUUUGUUCAACCAUUAAAUCACUACAUGAG